RNAcentral lists this ribosomal RNA (266 nucleotides) under uncultured bacterium. RNAcentral's name for it is "partial 16S ribosomal RNA". It matches the Rfam family "Bacterial small subunit ribosomal RNA", at positions 793 to 1055 of the family's 1533-position model. The record is from RNAcentral.
GUCCUAGCCGUAAACGGUGCGCACUUGCUGUGAGCGGAAUCGACCCCGUUCGUGGCGAAGCUAACGCGUUAAGUGCGCCGCCUGGGGAGUACGGUCGCAAGAUUAAAACUCAAAGAAAUUGACGGGGCCUGCACAAGCGGUGGAGUAUGUGGCUUAAUUCGAUGCAACGCGAAGAACCUUACCUGGCCUUGACAUGCAAGUGGUAGAAGCCUGAAAGGGUAACGACCCCGCAAGGGGAGCUUGCACAGGUGCUGCAUGGCUGUCGU